GUGGGGAAUAUUGGACAAUGGGCGAAAGCCUGAUCCAGCCAUGCCGCGUGUGUGAAGAAGGUCUUCGGAUUGUAAAGCACUUUAAGUUGGGAGGAAGGGUAGUAACCUAAUACGUUGCUACUUUGACGUUACCGACAGAAUAAGCACCGGCUAACUUCGUGCCAGCAGCCGCGGUAAUACGCAGGGUGCAAGCGUUAAUCGGAAUUACUGGGCGUAAAGCGCGCGUAGGUGGUUCAGUAAGUUGGAAGUGAAAUCCCCGGGCUCAACCUGGGAACUGCUUUCAAAACUGCUGAGCUAGAGUACGGUAGAGGGUGGUGGAAUUUCCUGUGUAGCGGUGAAAUGCGUAGAUAUAGGAAGGAACACCAGUGGCGAAGGCGACCACCUGGACUGAUACUGACACUGAGGUGCGAAAGCGUGGGGAGCAAACAGGAUUAGAAACCCGGGUAGUCC
RNAcentral lists this ribosomal RNA (450 nucleotides) under uncultured bacterium. Its description in RNAcentral is "partial 16S ribosomal RNA". It matches the Rfam family "Bacterial small subunit ribosomal RNA", at positions 354 to 796 of the family's 1533-position model. The record is from RNAcentral.